GAAAGGAUUCACCAUGCUUUUGUGAGCACUAGUUAUCCGUAAAUUCAAUAAUAGAGAUGGGUCGCUCAUAUUUGAAAGGGAGGACAUGAAUUUGAACUAAUGGAAUGAGAAUAGUAGGUUAUGGCUGAGAGGCAUAAUUAAAAAGUGUUUAUACUUAAAUUCUAAUUCAUCUAAGUCAGAGCUUGACUCUUUAGAGGAGUUUUCAGUAUUAGUUGUUAUUCCUUCAAGAGCAAAAACAAUUUCCUUGUUUGCAUCUUUUUGUUUUGAAAAUAGGGACUUGAUA
This 283-nucleotide unclassified non-coding RNA is filed under the name Hevea brasiliensis (rubber tree). Lineage: Eukaryota; Viridiplantae; Streptophyta; Magnoliopsida; Malpighiales; Euphorbiaceae. The record is from RNAcentral.